This 292-nucleotide ribosomal RNA is filed under the name uncultured bacterium. RNAcentral describes it as "partial 16S ribosomal RNA". The record is from RNAcentral. RNAcentral also lists the same sequence under 1 other name.
GGACUACCCGGGUAUCUAAUCCUGUUUGCUCCCCACGCUUUCGUGCAUGAGCGUCAGUCUUGACCCAGGGGGCUGCCUUCGCCAUCGGUAUUCCUCCACAUAUCUACGCAUUUCACUGCUACACGUGGAAUUCUACCCCCCUCUGCCAAACUCUAGCCGUGCAGUCACAAAUGCAGUUCCCAGGUUAAGCCCGGGCAUUUCACAUCUGUCUUACACAACCGCCUGCGCACGCUUUACGCCCAGUAAUUCCGAUUAACGCUCGCACCCUACGUAUUACCGCGGCUGCUGGCAC